RNAcentral lists this ribosomal RNA (450 nucleotides) under uncultured bacterium. RNAcentral's name for it is "bacterial SSU rRNA". It matches the Rfam family "Bacterial small subunit ribosomal RNA", at positions 354 to 796 of the family's 1533-position model. The record is from RNAcentral.
GUGGGGAAUAUUGGACAAUGGGCGAAAGCCUGAUCCAGCCAUGCCGCGUGUGUGAAGAAGGUCUUCGGAUUGUAAAGCACUUUAAGUUGGGAGGAAGGGCAGUAAGUUAAUACCUUGCUGUUUUGACGUUACCGACAGAAUAAGCACCGGCUAACUUCGUGCCAGCAGCCGCGGUAAUACGAAGGGUGCAAGCGUUAAUCGGAAUUACUGGGCGUAAAGCGCGCGUAGGUGGUUUUGUAAGUUGGAGGUGAAAUCCCCGGGCUCAACCUGGGAACAGCCUCCAAAACUGCAUGACUAGAGUACGGUAGAGGGUAGUGGAAUUUCCUGUGUAGCGGUGAAAUGCGUAGAUAUAGGAAGGAACACCAGUGGCGAAGGCGACUACCUGGACUGAUACUGACACUGAGGUGCGAAAGCGUGGGGAGCAAACAGGAUUAGAAACCCGAGUAGUCC